CUUUUGACUCAAUUCACAGAGCACUCCAUGAAGAUGAACAAUUAACCCUAGCUAACCAUAACUCUCCCUGUCUUCAUUAUGCCUCACUGUACCCUAACUCUCUCUUCAUUGUGCCUCACUGUACCCUAACCACGACGAAGAGCCCCUAACAGCACUCUGCAAGAACGUCGCCGGUCGCCGGCGCUCGCAAUGCCUCCGUCGAAGAACCCCUAACCGCGAUGAAGAACCCCUAACCCUCCUUUGGGUUUCUUCGCUCUUCUCUCGCCACUCUCACCCUCAAGCUCACUGAGUCUCACCUCUCUCGCGGCUGGUCUCACCGUCGACCUCUCUCUAGCUCUCCGGUAUAUCGCUUCUCUCGCGGGCGUUUCAGACUCAAGGUCGUCGCGCUCUGUUUCCGUCGCUGCUCUGUCACCGUCGCUGCUCUAUCGCGCUCUGUCGCAAGCGAAUCGGUGGAAUUCGAACCGAUCCCAAUCGGUUCCUGCUCCAAAGAGAACCAGAGCAUCUACCAGCAGUUGUUUAAAUUACGCCGAUUUAGCAAAGCAUUGCCGUAUGGAGUUACUCAUGCAUCAAAGGCUCUAGAACCUGCUACUCUUGUUCCUCUUCAGCUUUUAAAGUCAAGUGGAACCAAAUGCAUAAUGGUUGGUGACCCAAAGCAACUUUCUGCAACUGUCCUCUCAAAUGUUGCGAGUAAAUAUCUUUACGAGUGCAGCAUGUUUGAACGUUUACAAAGGGCAGGGCAUCCUGUUAUCAUGCUUACUAAGCAGAGAACUACUUUGCUUGGCUUCUCAAAGUCUUGCGCCUCUGUUCUAACAUUGACCUUCUUCUAUUCUGUUUCCUUCUUGUUCUGACUGUUAUUUUUUCUAUUUCUGGAAGCUCCCCAUGUCGCCAAAAUCCUGAGAUGUUUGUAUUGUUGGUGUUGCAAGGACUCCAAUGGGGGAUCUACUUGGCAACCUAUCAUCUCUAUCAGCAACACAACUAGGCUCAAUUGUUAUCAACUAGGCUCAAUUGUUGCAGCUACCAUGCUUGCAGUACAUUGUAGAAGCAAGGUUGAAGUUUCUGGUGGAAGAGGGAAACCCUCUAGAAUAGUUGAUAAAGAUGAAGGAUUGGGGAAGGUAAGCAGAUCACAGUAUGUAAUUACAUGUGUUAACUUAUCUCUAUAGGACAUAGUGGUAGAUAUUAGGAUUACAUUGUAAUGCCAUGUGUAUGCGCAUCUAUAGUAUAAUGUACUAACCAGAGUUGCUGAUAAAGGAGAGUUUAUUAGAAUUUAGAGUUUCUUUUACUUUACUAUUUUUUCCCCUUUUUUC
Molecule: non-coding RNA, 1304 nt
Organism: Arachis ipaensis
Lineage: Eukaryota; Viridiplantae; Streptophyta; Magnoliopsida; Fabales; Fabaceae
Source: RefSeq, a predicted model, not a curated record